CUCCUGUGUCACUUGUGAUGGCCCCUCCCCUAUAAUAGUGGACGUCUCCUGAACAUGUAUAUCAGGAAUAACAAGUACUGUUGGAGCAUCUACGAGCUGAGUAACCCCCUCAACCCCCUUAUAUGGAUCCAAUGAUGGACCUAGGACAAAAAUCAGACCACUCAGAUGAAGAAUCAUGAUGCCAACUCGGACUUGGUGCUGUCAUCUGGGGCAUGUAGGAAGAUGAAGGCCCUGACAUCUA
RNAcentral lists this long non-coding RNA (241 nucleotides) under Elaeis guineensis (African oil palm). RNAcentral describes it as "long non-coding RNA (EGUI_LNC029842)". The record is from RNAcentral. Lineage: Eukaryota; Viridiplantae; Streptophyta; Magnoliopsida; Arecales; Arecaceae.